GAUGAACGCUGGCGGCGUGCCUAAUACAUGCAAGUCGAGCGAAGCGGGGACGGGUGAGUAACACGUGGAUAACCUCCUAUAAGACUGGGAUAACUUCGGGAAACCGGAGCUAAACCGGAAACUUAUAGAUGGAUCCUCGCUGCAUUAGCUAUUGGGUAAGGAAAAGGCUUACCAAGGACACGAUGCAUAGCCGACCUGAGAGGGUGAUCGGCCACCCUGUAACUGAGACACGGUCCAGGCUCCUACGGGAGGCAGAGGUAGGGAAUCUUCCGCAAUGGGCGAAAGCCUGACGGAGCAACGCCGCGUGAGUGAUGAAGGUCGUGGGAUCGAAAGACUCUUUUAUUAGGGAAGCGGUACCUAAUCAGAAAGCCACGGCUAACUACGUGCCAGCAGCCGCGGUAAUUC
Molecule: ribosomal RNA, 405 nt
Filed under: uncultured bacterium
Lineage: Bacteria
Description: partial 16S ribosomal RNA
Rfam family: Bacterial small subunit ribosomal RNA
Source: RNAcentral